GUCACUUUCCUGCUAAUCUGUUUUAGUCAUCUCUGCUGCUUCUUCCUUCUAACAGGGUUCCCUUCUCUAGGGAAAGGGGCGGGCCCUGAAAUCAUAGAUUAAAACACAAAAGGAAACCACUUUCUCCACUGACCUCUUUCCAGCAAUGAUUCAUGAUCUGGUAGACAUUUGUGGAGGCCAGUCGGGGCUUGUAUAACCGAAAUCCGGUACUGAUGUCUUCCACCACCUCAGAGUUGCUUCGGUUUUCAUAUGGGAUUUUGCCUUCGCUGAAGACUUCCCACAUGAGCACACCUAUGAGAGAUGAGCUGUUUUGCACACAGACUCUCAGAGGGACACCCUCAUGGUCAAGCAUUCAGAGCAAGAAGAGAUGCCUGCAUUUGACAAAGGAAACCACAAGCCCACAGUCCCAGAUCACAGGGGCGUGGGGCCAGGAUGACUCUUACCAAAUGACCACACAUCUGACUUGCUGCUGUAACGGCUGAAGGAGAAAACUUCUGGGGAUGCCCACUUCACUGGGAACUUGGUGCCUGUGGAACUGGUGUACUGAUCAUCGAGGACAAACCUGGAGAGAGAGUGGAAGGAGAAUGUCGGAACAUUCCAGAGCCUGAGUUCCUUUCCUGAGACCUUGCUGACACCACAUCCCCUUAUUACCUUGUCAUUCCGAAGUCAGACACUUUGAUGACUUGGUUUUCUCCCACCAGACAAUUUCGGGCAGCCUGGAGAGGAGACGGGCAAAUAAAAGAAAAGGAAAAGUG
Molecule: long non-coding RNA, 755 nt
Organism: Loxodonta africana (African savanna elephant)
Lineage: Eukaryota; Metazoa; Chordata; Mammalia; Proboscidea; Elephantidae
Exons: 2
Source: RefSeq, a predicted model, not a curated record